RNAcentral lists this long non-coding RNA (213 nucleotides) under Medicago truncatula (barrel medic). Its description in RNAcentral is "long non-coding RNA (MTRU_LNC001731)". The record is from RNAcentral. Lineage: Eukaryota; Viridiplantae; Streptophyta; Magnoliopsida; Fabales; Fabaceae.
CCUUUGCUACUCUAGUCUCAUCUCUUGAAAAUCGGACCUUGUCGCUUGAACCUCAGCCUCUAUCCUUGUACGCCAUUCCUGGUCAUCUUGAACCACCGGGUGUGGUUGAUGUUCCACUUGGUCAGCAGCCGCUGCGUCGUCUUCAAGAUGCUGCUCUUCUGCAACUUCUGGAUCUAAAUCAGAAUAAAUCCAAUUUGCUGGAUUGGAUGUGUC